AGCAGCCGCGGUAAUUCCAGCUCCAAUAGCGUAUAUUAAAGUUGUUGCAGUUAAAAAGCUCGUAGUUGAAUUUCGGGAUCAAUAUAUUGGUCAUGCUUAGGUAUGUACUGGUAUUAUUGAUUUCUCCCUUCUGAAGAACCAUGAUGUCAUUUAUUUGAUGUCGUGGGGAAUCAGGACUGUUACUUUGAAAAAAUUAGUGUUUAAAGCAGGCUUUCGCUUGAAUACAUUAGCAUGGAAUAAUGAAAUAGGACGUUUGAUUCUAUUUUGUUGGUUUCUAGGAUCGACGUAAUGAUUAAUAGGGAUAGUUGGG
Molecule: ribosomal RNA, 310 nt
Filed under: uncultured Glomus
Lineage: Eukaryota; Fungi; Glomeromycota; Glomeromycetes; Glomerales; Glomeraceae
Description: SSU rRNA
Rfam family: Eukaryotic small subunit ribosomal RNA
Source: RNAcentral